GCAGGCCUAACACAUGCAAGUCGAGCGGUAGAGAGAAGCUUGCUUCUCUUGAGAGCGGCGGACGGGUGAGUAAUGCCUAGGAAUCUGCCUGGUAGUGGGGGAUAACGUUCGGAAACGGACGCUAAUACCGCAUACGUCCUACGGGAGAAAGCAGGGGACCUUCGGGCCUUGCGCUAUCAGAUGAGCCUAGGUCGGAUUAGCUAGUUGGUGAGGUAAUGGCUCACCAAGGCGACGAUCCGUAACUGGUCUGAGAGGAUGAUCAGUCACACUGGAACUGAGACACGGUCCAGACUCCUACGGGAGGCAGCAGUGGGGAAUAUUGGACAAUGGGCGAAAGCCUGAUCCAGCCAUGCCGCGUGUGUGAAGAAGGUCUUCGGAUUGUAAAGCACUUUAAGUUGGGAGGAAGGGUUGUAGAUUAAUACUCUGCAAUUUUGACGUUACCGACAGAAUAAGCACCGGCUAACUCUGUGCCAGCAGCCGCGGUAAUACAGAGGGUGCAAGCGUUAAUCGGAAUUACUGGGCGUAAAGCGCGCGUAGGUGGUUUGUUAAGUUGGAUGUGAAAUCCCCGGGCUCAACCUGGGAACUGCAUUCAAAACUGACUGACUAGAGUAUGGUAGAGGGUGGUGGAAUUUCCUGUGUAGCGGUGAAAUGCGUAGAUAUAGGAAGGGAACACCAGUGGCGAAAG
RNAcentral lists this ribosomal RNA (685 nucleotides) under Pseudomonas sp. RNAcentral's name for it is "bacterial SSU rRNA". It matches the Rfam family "Bacterial small subunit ribosomal RNA", at positions 42 to 721 of the family's 1533-position model. Lineage: Bacteria; Pseudomonadati; Pseudomonadota; Gammaproteobacteria; Pseudomonadales; Pseudomonadaceae. The record is from RNAcentral.